Molecule: long non-coding RNA, 332 nt
Organism: Hippocampus comes (tiger tail seahorse)
Lineage: Eukaryota; Metazoa; Chordata; Actinopteri; Syngnathiformes; Syngnathidae
Exons: 3
Source: RefSeq, a predicted model, not a curated record
UGUUUCUUGAUGUGAGUGAUAUUGACCAUAGGAGGGAAACAAGUAUGGGCUAUUUCCUGGAUUCAAGGCGUUUUGUGUAUCAAGAAAAAAACACACUGGUGACACCACUUUUAACAAUCAGCUGCCAGCAAAGGAACCCAACUUGUUUAAUUUUGUUAAAAUCCCCACAGUUGUGACGCCACAUGGAUUAAAAAAUAAAAAUAAAAAACUCCAAAAAUUGUACAAACAGCAACAACAACAGCACCAGAACCAACACAAGGGUCAGUAAACACAUUUGUACAGAGAGAAUAUCAUUUGUGUGUGGGGGGGAGAGAGAGAGAGAGAGAGAAAGA